Lolium perenne is the source of this 490-nucleotide non-coding RNA. The record is from RefSeq and is a predicted model, not a curated record. NCBI's taxonomy places the organism in Eukaryota, Viridiplantae, Streptophyta, Magnoliopsida, Poales, Poaceae.
AACGAUGAGGACAAGUGUGGAUGAUUUGAUGGCAUGGUGGGUGUGAGAUGGAUUGCCAGAGUUGGACCUGGAGGUAUAGGUCAUUGGAGAGGAGUCCUGGGGAGACUGAGAUCUCCAAUUUGGUGUUGUCUUGCUUGAAAUAAGAAUAUAUGGAGUUUUAAUUUCUAAGAAUCAGUACGACAACCAGAUUUUGGAAAGCAACCUUCAAGCUUCUAAACCAAUGAUCGAUUUCGCAAUAUUUAGAUUGCUGCUUCCUGGAAUACCAUGUGCUACAUGAAGGCAAGAAGAGCUCAUCUCGGAUCAUCGCGGCUCGGAGAUUGCAGACCAUGAUAGGGGUGGCGUACUUCAGCUAGUGUGGCAGCAGCAAGAUCUUGCUAACGAGGAGGGGAACAAACUUCUCACCCAAUUUGGCAAUUUGAGUAACUGGAUUGUUGUAUGGAACCUGAUAUAUAUGACUUGUGCUUAAAGAAAAAAGCUCCAAGCUAGUCGA